GCUUGCUGUUCAACCUCUGGCACCUCGACAAUGGCGUCUUCAUGUUGCCAAUGUUCGGAAUGUUUAGCUUCAAUUUUGUGUAAGUGUCCUACUAGGUUUCUUCUCCAUAUAUUAUCAGAAAGUUAUAUGACUUCUGCAUAGAACAUUUAUUCAGCAAUAGUGUCGGUUUAACUCUCUUUUUGUGCCUCAUGGCCUACUGUAUAUUAUAUUGGCU
Molecule: unclassified non-coding RNA, 214 nt
Filed under: Hevea brasiliensis (rubber tree)
Lineage: Eukaryota; Viridiplantae; Streptophyta; Magnoliopsida; Malpighiales; Euphorbiaceae
Source: RNAcentral